Macaca fascicularis (crab-eating macaque) is the source of this 146-nucleotide unclassified non-coding RNA. It matches the Rfam family "Metazoan signal recognition particle RNA". From Rfam's summary of the family: The signal recognition particle (SRP) is a universally conserved ribonucleoprotein. It is involved in the co-translational targeting of proteins to membranes. The eukaryotic SRP consists of a 300-nucleotide 7S RNA and six proteins: SRPs 72, 68, 54, 19, 14, and 9. NCBI's taxonomy places the organism in Eukaryota, Metazoa, Chordata, Mammalia, Primates, Cercopithecidae. The record is from Ensembl.
GCCGGGCAUGGUGGCAUGCCUGUAAUCCCAGCUACUCAGGAGGCUGAGGUAGGAGGAUCCCUUGAGUCCAGGAGGUUGAGGCUGCAGUGAGCUAUGAUCACAACACUGCACUCCAGCCUGGGCAACAGAGAGAGAUCCUGCCUCAA